Molecule: transfer RNA, 65 nt
Filed under: Hippopus hippopus
Lineage: Eukaryota; Metazoa; Mollusca; Bivalvia; Cardiida; Cardiidae
Description: tRNA-Thr
Source: RNAcentral
GGGUGUGUAGUUUAUAUAAGAACAUCGGUUUUGUAGUCCGGAAGUGGGAUGGUUCCCCUCACCCU